Long non-coding RNA from Cololabis saira (Pacific saury), 544 nucleotides. RefSeq lists it as uncharacterized. NCBI's taxonomy places the organism in Eukaryota, Metazoa, Chordata, Actinopteri, Beloniformes, Belonidae. The transcript has 3 exons. The record is from RefSeq and is a predicted model, not a curated record.
AUAAAAUAAUAAAGUGUUAUCAAUAGCCACAUAAAGUGUUGAUGGCUAUGCACAAUGUCAAAACAAGUUAUGACCAAAUACAUUUUGUCCACAAAAUGGAUGUCAUACGGUGUGACACUAAAAUGUGUAUUUUGAACGGGCAAUAAUUUGGACAUCUUAAUGAUGAAGAGGACCACGCCCAACCAGGAAGUUACAGUAACAUCUCUGGAGUGACUUGCAAAUUCAUGAGAGUGAGGCAGAUAUGUCCAGCAAGGAAAGGACACGCAAGUACAGGGAAAGACUGAAUGCAGACCCUGUGACGAGAGAGGAUAUCCUCAGGGAAAGAAGAAAAAAGUAUGAAGAGAAGAAACAAAAAGGAAAAAAUGACCCUCGCAGUGUCAAAUCACUUCCUCCUUCUAAGCAAGACACAUUGAGGGAGAAAUGGAGAAAUGCACAAAGGACACACAGAAAAAGAAAACAUGAGCUUGAUGCUGUAAUGAACUUGACCCCUCCAUCUCUUGAGGUUUCACUAAAUGAAGAUGACAUUGCACCACCAAUAAACAGC